Cicer arietinum (chickpea) is the source of this 664-nucleotide long non-coding RNA. RefSeq lists it as uncharacterized. NCBI's taxonomy places the organism in Eukaryota, Viridiplantae, Streptophyta, Magnoliopsida, Fabales, Fabaceae. The record is from RefSeq and is a predicted model, not a curated record.
UACAUACUCAUUCCUAACUAAGAUAACUACUAGCUAGGCUAAUGUGUAGGAAAAAGAGUGUGGUCACGUCCAUAUGCUAAAAGCCUGAGAAACAGUAAGGAUACAGCUUGCAUCAUGUUUUUAAUAAUAAAAAAAACAAAUAAAAGCCAAAUGAAAAAAGAUUCUAAGCAAACUAUAUCAAACUUCAGACAGGAAGCAUUGAUAGCAGAAAAACAAGAGUUUUUAUUUUUUUGAAUCACUCAAACUCUAAUUUCAAAUUUUUCUUUCCAAUAUAAAGAAAUUCGCAGUCUUAGUAACACAUAGUUUGAAAAGAAAAGCAAACAUGAAGGGAGAAAGUACCUGCCUUUCCGGAUACCAGAGGCUACGGUGGGGAUAGAAGCGGCGGUGCACGACGGUGUGCAGCUCGAUUGAAACCUCAGAAUGUUAAAACAGGAACAGAUGUACCAACAAGCAUGGCUUGUGCAUCAAUGGCAGUCAUCAUCAACAUGGCAGGGUUUGGCAGUGAACAAAGUCAACAUAGCAUGGCUUGAUCUGAUUUGAUUUUUAUUGUAAUUUAUUUUUGGCUUUAUUCUUAGUUUGUAAUUUGAUUUGGUUUUAAAACUCUAAUUAGAUAAAAAUGUAAAUUUAUGAUACAUAAUAAAAUUAUUUAUUGUAAUUAUUUUUA